This 2064-nucleotide small RNA is filed under the name Oryza sativa Japonica Group (Japanese rice). RNAcentral describes it as "sRNA Os12g0456783". Lineage: Eukaryota; Viridiplantae; Streptophyta; Magnoliopsida; Poales; Poaceae. The record is from RNAcentral.
UGCACUCUUGGGCUCGGCAGCAGGGAGAGGUGGCUCAAUGACGUCCGAUGAGUUGAGCACCGGCAUUGGUGCCAGAGCUGGCAGCAUGCCACCAGUACUGCACUCCGCAUCGAGUAGCUGCGCCAGGUCGCCAAUUGGCACUUGCUUCAUGGAUGUAGACGUACCAUCUCCUUGGCGUGUACAAUAAACUUACUUUUGUAUCUUCUAACAGUCUUGGGGAAGUCAGUUAUGAAGCCAUCAACAUGAACCAACUGAACAUAGUUGUUGAUCUCCACUGUUCCAUCUGCGAAGAAAUCCACCGGUGGUGAUACAUACUCAUUGCGGAAUACCUCCACAUACACAGCUAACCCUGCAGACUGCACAUCUUCCACAACCUUGCUUUUCCUAAUAAUAAAACCUUUGCUCUCGGCAAAAACAGAUUCCCUGUCAACAAUAACAGCAUCUGCAAACUUCUUGAUAUCUGCUACGCAGGAAUCAGAAACGUCCCCAACUUUUAACGGGAGCGAGUAGACAAGCUUGCAUUGUGUUAACCUCUGCUUCAGUUUGACGAGAACAGCACUGUCUUUAGACUGAAUCAUAAUCUCCUUGUUGUUCUUGGUAGUUGGGUCCAUGUUGUCAUAGCCAGCAUUACUCAACGCAGUUGUUACAAGAUCAACGACAUCAAAUCCUAAUGAUUUUGCCAUAAAUGCAGCAUUCUCAUGAUGAUCAUGAUGCCGGAUAAAUCCUUGUCCUUUGCAUAUGUCAAAAAGUCGGAUAACUUGAAAAACUUUCCUUGAUUUGCGUACCUUGGGUUCCUUACAAAAUCAUGAUAUGGGUGGGAAACUCACGUCUCAAAGUGCUAAUUUCUUCCCAAGUGAGGUUAAACGUGAAUAUUCCCGGUUUAGUCUGAAUUUCUGGAACGACAGAAGCAAGUGAGCUAAACUUCGAGUUCUGAACAUCUGUACUAUCAUACAGGUUAAUGGAACUCAUGCAUAUAGGAAUUCCAUCUUUGGUCAUUUCGAUGGAACAGUCAAUGACAUCUGCACCAUCUCCAACUGCCUUCUCAUAAGCAAGAUCCGUACAGUCCGGGUAAUCUCCACUAGCACCAUUAUGUGAGAUAAUUAAUAUAUUCCCUGAUAAAAAACAGUGUGCAACAAAAGUAUGGACACAUACCAAUAGCCUCUGAUGCAGUAAGUGGGUGAUCCGUUAAUACACCAUCAACAGAGAAGCCACCAUUGCUGACAAAUGACAGAUAUUCCUCCAAAGGAUCAUAACUGUAGUUAUAGGGAAAAAUUCCAUCGUUUGAAAAAUCAGACGCAUAUAUUUCUAAACCUGCAUCGUGCGCAUCUUUGACAAUCUGUGUGGGAAGCUGAAUAUAGUUAUCACUCGUCACUGGCCAGAUAUAGCUUUUGGGAACCAUUAUACCAGAAGCAAUUGUCUUAAUAAAUGCCAGGUCACUCAGCAUAGAGUCAUAUGUUUUGUUUGUAGAAAGAUCGGAAACAGCUUUAUCAAGAAAGCGGAAUACUAGCUUCACUUUAUGAUCAAUGCCUCCUGAUAGAGUUUCCAGGAAACCUAGUUCAGGUGAUGAGAUGUACUUCACAAAGCCAAGCUUCUGUACUGAAAGAAUGUAAUUUGUCAUGUUCAAACCAUGCUCUCUAGCAAACUCUACCUCAACAUUCAACCAAAGAGAUGAUGGCUCGAUCGAGGACAUGAAGCCGGUGACAGAAAAGAUGCGGAAGUUGCAGAAAUCAAAUUUGUCGGUACGAGAAAAAAGUGCCUGUGUUACUGCCCAACGGUAGAUGUGACAAAGACAUGUUAUAGUCCACAGGGAACCAUCCGGUUUUCGGCACUCCAUUGAUUCUGUAUGUCUGCUUCCCCCCUGGAUAAACUUGGCUGAUAGUGGUGCCAUUCUGCAUAAGUAAAUCUCGGAGGCAAAAGCCAACACCGUCUUUCGUCAGUUGCACAUCGCACCACAAGCUUGUGUCAGUCGAGGUAGCAGACAAGGCAAAACCAAAGGCGAAUUGGCUGGAAUCAGGAAACAAUCCUGAAAAGCCACCUCUAGCAAUAACAAGAGGAGCAUUACCU